UUAGUGGCGGACGGGUGAGUAACGCGUGGAAAACCUGCCGUAUACUGGGGAUAACACUUAGAAAUAGGUGCUAAUACCGCAUAAGCGCACAGCUUCGCAUGAAGCGGUGUGAAAAACUCUGGUGGUAUACGAUGGUUCCGCGUCUGAUUAGCUAGUUGGUGGGGUAAUGGCCUACCAAGGCAACGAUCAGUAGCCGGCCUGAGAGGGUGAACCGGCCGCAUUGGGACUGAGACACGGCCCAAACUCCUACGGAAGGCAGCAG
Molecule: ribosomal RNA, 262 nt
Filed under: uncultured bacterium
Lineage: Bacteria
Description: partial 16S ribosomal RNA
Rfam family: Bacterial small subunit ribosomal RNA
Source: RNAcentral